CAGUCAGCUUGACACAAGCAUCAAUUACUCCUUGGAUUUCAGCAGUAAUUGUAGAACCUGAUUUGUCGAUUAUUGCAUCUAUCUCCUCAAUCACAUCAAAAUAUGCCUCAUUGUUCGUGUAUUUCACACCAGUACGUCUCCAAGGCACCACUGAUAGCUGCCCAGUAGGAAGCUGGUCACCCACAUUAGUGCUUCCUGUGAUGGUGUUGACUACCGUUCGCAGGAUAGUUGGAGGCUUUAUCAGUUCUUUGAGAAUAUUAGAUUCUGUUGCCAAUGGAAAGCCAUUGUCUAGCAUCUCUUCCAGCACCUCAUAAACCACCACAACAUUGUCCUUGAUCAUCACCUCCGAACAGACACCAAAGUAAUCCUUAGGGGUUGUAACCACCUUUUCACAGCACGAUGGUCCGCCCGUGCCCUUCCCGCACAACUCCGGGCGGGCGGGUGCCCCACCGCGCUGACAGCCCCCCGGCUGUGGGGCGCGGAGCUCUCCCGCCCAAGCGCCGCUUCCAAGCAGCCCAUCCCGCGCCGUCCGCUCGGCGCUCCAGGCCGCUCUCGAAGACCGCCCCACCUCCCG
This 574-nucleotide long non-coding RNA is filed under the name Gallus gallus (chicken). The record is from RNAcentral. Lineage: Eukaryota; Metazoa; Chordata; Aves; Galliformes; Phasianidae.